Molecule: ribosomal RNA, 468 nt
Filed under: uncultured bacterium
Lineage: Bacteria
Description: partial 16S ribosomal RNA
Rfam family: Bacterial small subunit ribosomal RNA
Source: RNAcentral
GACGAACGCUGGCGGCGUGCUUAACACAUGCAAGUCGAACGGAAAGGCCCUGCUUUUGUGGGGUGCUCGAGUGGCGAACGGGUGAGUAACACGUGAGUAACCUGCCCUUGACUUUGGGAUAACUUCAGGAAACUGGGGCUAAUACCGGAUAGGAGCUCCUGCUGCAUGGUGGGGGUUGGAAAGUUUCGGCGGUUGGGGAUGUACUCGCGGCUUAUCAGCUUGUUGGUGGGGUAGUGGCUUACCAAGGCUUUGACGGGUAGCCGGCCUGAGAGGGUGACCGGCGACAUUGGGACUGAGAUACGGCCCAGACUCCUACGGGAGGCAGCAGUGGGGAAUAUUGCACAAUGGGCGGAAGCCUGAUGCAGCAACGCCGCGUGCGGGAUGACGGCCUUCGAGUUGUAAACCGCUUUCGCCUGUGACGAAGCGUGAGUGACGGUAAUGGGUAAAGAAGCACCGGCUAACUACGUG